RNAcentral lists this ribosomal RNA (811 nucleotides) under uncultured marine bacterium. RNAcentral's name for it is "bacterial SSU rRNA". It matches the Rfam family "Bacterial small subunit ribosomal RNA", at positions 8 to 812 of the family's 1533-position model. The record is from RNAcentral.
AGAGUUUGAUCAUGGCUCAGAUUGAACGCUGGCGGCAGGCCUUACACAUGCAAGUCGAGCGAGAAAUUUUCUUCGGAAAAGAGUAAAGCGGCGGACGGGUGAGUAACGCGUAGGAAUCUACCUAGUAGUGGGGGACAACAUGUGGAAACGCAUGCUAAUACCGCAUACGCCCUAUGGGGGAAAGCAGGGGAUCUUCGGACCUUGUGCUAUUAGAUGAGCCUGCGUCGGAUUAGUUUGUUGGUAGGGUAAUGGCCUACCAAGACUACGAUCCGUAGCUGGUCUGAGAGGAUGAUCAGCCACACUGGGACUGAGACACGGCCCAGACUCCUACGGGAGGCAGCGGUGGGGAAUAUUGGACAAUGGGCGCAAGCCUGAUCCAGCCAUGCCGCGUGUGUGAAGAAGGCUCUAGGGUUGUAAAGCACUUUCAGUAGGGAGGAAAAGUUAGUAGUUAAUAACUGCUAGCCCUGACGUUACCUACAGAAGAAGCACCGGCAAACUCCGUGCCAGCAGCCGCGGUAAUACGGAGGGUGCGAGCGUUAAUCGGAAUUACUGGGCGUAAAGCGCGCGUAGGCGGUUUGACAAGCUGGAUGUGAAAGCCCCGGGCUCAACCUGGGAACUGCAUCCAGAACUGUCUGACUAGAAUACAAUAGAGGUGAGUGGAAUUUCCUGUGUAGCGGUGAAAAUGCGUAGAUAUAGGAAGGAACAUCAGUGGCGAAGGCCGACUCACUUGGAUUGAUAUUGACGCUAAGGUGCGAAAGCGUGGGGAGCGAACAGGAUUAGAUACCCUGNUAGUCCACGCCGUAAACGAUGU